Gorilla gorilla gorilla (western lowland gorilla) is the source of this 102-nucleotide unclassified non-coding RNA. It matches the Rfam family "Y RNA". From Rfam's summary of the family: Y RNAs are components of the Ro ribonucleoprotein particle (Ro RNP), in association with Ro60 and La proteins. The record is from Ensembl. NCBI's taxonomy places the organism in Eukaryota, Metazoa, Chordata, Mammalia, Primates, Hominidae.
UACUGGUGUGAUUGCAGUGAUGUUUACAACUAAUUGAUCACAACCAAUUAUAGAUUUCUUUAUUCCUUCUCCAUUUCCAGUGCUUUACUUGAGUAGCCUAAA